RNAcentral lists this ribosomal RNA (497 nucleotides) under uncultured bacterium. RNAcentral's name for it is "partial 16S ribosomal RNA". It matches the Rfam family "Bacterial small subunit ribosomal RNA", at positions 28 to 507 of the family's 1533-position model. The record is from RNAcentral.
GAUGAACGCUGGCGGCGUGCCUAAUACAUGCCAGUCGAGCGAACAGACCAUGAGCUUUCUCCUCUUACUUUUUCCGCUGACGUGUGUGUAACACUUUGUUAACCUUCCUUUUAUUCUUUUAUCACUUCGUGAAACCUGCUCUAAUACCGUCUAAUAUUUUUAACCUCAUUGUUCUAUAUUGAUAUACGGUUUUUCUGUCUCUUUUAGCUUGUUCCGCGCCGCAUUAGCUAGUUGGUAAGGUAACGGCUUACCAAGGCAACGAUGCGUAGCCGACCUGAGAGGGUGAUCGGCCACACUGGAACUGAGACACGGUCCAGACUCCUACGGGAGGCAGCAGUAGGGAAUCUUCCGCAAUGGGCGAAAGCCUGACGGAGCAACGCCGCGUGAGUGAUGAAGGUCUUCGGAUCGUAAAACUCUGUUAUUAGGGAAGAACAAAUGUGUAAGUAACUAUGCACGUCUUGACGGUACCUAAUCAGAAAGCCACGGCUAACUACGUG